RNAcentral lists this ribosomal RNA (373 nucleotides) under uncultured bacterium. RNAcentral describes it as "bacterial SSU rRNA". It matches the Rfam family "Bacterial small subunit ribosomal RNA", at positions 89 to 496 of the family's 1533-position model. The record is from RNAcentral.
UACUUAGUGGCAGACGGGUGAGUAACAUGUAGGUAUCUGCCCUUUGGCCUGGAAUAACACGAGGAAACUUGUGCUAAUACCGGAUAAGUCUUUACGGAGAAAGCUUUAUGCACCAUUGGAUGAGCCUGCACUUGAUUAGUUUGUUGGUGGGGUAAUGGCCUACCAAGACUGUGAUCAAUAGCUGAUUUGAGAGGAUGAUCAGCCACAUUGGGACUGAGACACGGCCCAAACUCCUACGGGAGGCAGCAGUGGGGAAUCUUGCACAAUGGAGGAAACUCUGAUGCAGCGAUGCCGCGUGAGUGAAGAAGGCCCUUGGGUUGUAAAGCUCUUUCGUCGGGGAAGAAAAUGACUGUACCCGAAUAAGAAGGUCCGG